Molecule: ribosomal RNA, 1390 nt
Filed under: metagenome
Description: bacterial SSU rRNA
Rfam family: Bacterial small subunit ribosomal RNA
Source: RNAcentral
CCGGCGCACGGGUGCGUAACGCGUAUGCGAUCUGCCCUGUACAGGGGAAUAGCCCAGGGAAACUUGGAUUAAUGCCCCAUGGUAUCCCGGGACGGCAUCGUCCCGGGAUUAAAGAUUCAUCGGUACAGGAUGAGCAUGCGUCCCAUUAGCUAGUUGGUGCGGUAACGGCGCACCAAGGCCGCGAUGGGUAGGGGCCCUGAGAGGGGGGACCCCCACACUGGUACUGAGACACGGACCAGACUCCUACGGGAGGCAGCAGUGAGGAAUAUUGGACAAUGGGCGGGAGCCUGAUCCAGCCAUGCCGCGUGCAGGAAGACGGCCCUACGGGUUGUAAACUGCUUUUAUGGGGGAAGAAACCCUCCCACGUGUGGGAGGCUGACGGUACCCCACGAAUAAGGACCGGCUAACUCCGUGCCAGCAGCCGCGGUAAUACGGAGGGUCCGAGCGUUAUCCGGAAUCAUUGGGUUUAAAGGGUCCGCAGGCGGGCCGCUAAGUCAGGGGUGAAAUCCCACGGCUCAACCGUGGAACUGCCCUUGAUACUGGCGGCCUUGAGUCGCGGCGAGGUGGUCGGAACAUGUGGUGUAGCGGUGAAAUGCAUAGAUAUCACAUAGAACGCCGAUUGCGAAGGCAGGCCACCAGCCGCGCACUGACGCUGAGGGACGAAAGCGUGGGGAGCGAACAGGAUUAGAUACCCUGGUAGUCCACGCCGUAAACGAUGGAUACUAGCUGCCCGGGCGCAAGCCUGGGUGGCCAAGCGAAAGUGAUAAGUAUCCCACCUGGGGAGUACGCCCGCAAGGGUGAAACUCAAAGGAAUUGACGGGGGCCCGCACAAGCGGUGGAGCAUGUGGUUUAAUUCGAUGAUACGCGAGGAACCUUACCAGGGCUUGAACGCAUUGCGACAGUCCCAGAGAUGGGAUCUCCUUCGGGCGCUUUGCGAGGUGCUGCAUGGUUGUCGUCAGCUCGUGCCGUGAGGUGUCAUGUUAAGUCCUAUAACGAGCGCAACCCCUGCCGCCAGUUGCCAGCAUGUAAUGAUGGGGACUCUGGCGGGACUGCCGGCGCAAGCCGCGAGGAAGGUGGGGAUGACGUCAAAUCAUCACGGCCCUUACGCCCUGGGCCACACACGUGCUACAAUGGCCGGUACAGUGGGAUGCCACCCCGCGAGGGGGAGCGGAUCCACAAAGCCGGUCACAGUUCGGAUCGCAGUCUGCAACUCGACUGCGUGAAGCUGGAAUCGCUAGUAAUCGGAUAUCAGCCAUGAUCCGGUGAAUACGUUCCCGGGCCUUGUACACACCGCCCGUCAAGCCAUGGAAGCUGGGGGUACCUGAAGUCGGUCGCCGCAAGGAGCCGCCUAGGGUAAGACCGGUGACUGGGGCUAAGUCGGAACAAGGUA